Tachysurus fulvidraco (yellow catfish) is the source of this 683-nucleotide long non-coding RNA. RefSeq lists it as uncharacterized. The record is from RefSeq and is a predicted model, not a curated record. The transcript has 2 exons. Lineage: Eukaryota; Metazoa; Chordata; Actinopteri; Siluriformes; Bagridae.
GGUAGGAGAAUGUUGGACAUGGAGCUGCCAGGCAGGAGGCAAAGAGGAAGGCCAAAGAAGAGCGCCUGCCCCGCCUCCCGAGCACCAACGGAGAGAACCGUCUCCUGAGUAUUAGUCGUUUCCGGACUGCAUUUCCCAUAAUCCUCUCGCCGGGACUGAUUACAUCACCACCUAUUACCCACGCCUAUAACACCUGAACGUGAACUUGACCCCAGUGCGAAGUCUCGAGCGGCUGCUGUGAUUAUUCUGAGCGUUUUCUGUGUUGUCUCUACUUCCGGUUUUGUGAUUCUCUUCCUGUCUGUCUGCCCUGACCCUUUGCCUGUUUUAUCCACCACGUACUUUGCCCUGUUGUGCUUCCACAACCAAGCAACGUAUUAAUUUUAGAAGCAAAAAAUAAUGGAUUGACAAAUUAAGGAUAGAUUAAUAAAUAAAUGAAUCAAUAUUAAAUACAAUAAUGUCCUUAUUGUAUUUCUAUAAUUUACUAUUUUACUUUUAAUUAUGCACAAUGUACUUUUUUUUAAAUUUAACUUUUUGUACUAUUUGCAUGCAGCACAGCUGCAAAUGCUUUGGUAAUACAAAUGUACAGUUUUUGUCAUGCCGAUAAAGCACACUUAAAUUGAACUUGAGAGAGAGACUAUGUUCCUAUUUUGAUAAUAAAAUAACAGCACUUGACUUGACUUGAA